UAAACCCUGCGGUGUUCGUGGACAAGGGACUGUGUCUUGAGCCAACACUCAAGCCCGCGGAGGUCCGCUCCGUUCCGGCAGAAACGGCCCACGGGUCGUCCAAGGCCAAGGUUCGGGGGGCUUCCAUCCUUGCUAAGGAGCGGGUCAAGGCCUUCCCAUCACGGCACUGUGGGGUUUAC
RNAcentral lists this non-coding RNA (179 nucleotides) under Aminomonas paucivorans DSM 12260. Its description in RNAcentral is "6S RNA". It matches the Rfam family "6S / SsrS RNA". From Rfam's summary of the family: E. coli 6S RNA was the first non coding RNA to be sequenced, but its function was unknown until recently. It consists of 184 nucleotides that fold into an extended hairpin structure with a large single-stranded internal bulge. The record is from RNAcentral. Lineage: Bacteria; Thermotogati; Synergistota; Synergistia; Synergistales; Synergistaceae.